ACAGUUCUGUCCCUCAACAAUUCAAUCACAUGCAGUCUUUGCAGAUUUCAAGCCCAUCACUCCCCCUUCCCUUCUGUACCACAUCUGAGCAAGCUGAUAAGAAAGCCUGAGUGUUUCCUCUUUCUACACCUGUGGGAAGUUUGAACCAUACAACACGGAUUUGCACAUGUGAGAACCUUCAUCCCAGCCCACUUCCUUACCACCAUAAAACCCCAAGCCAUUCACUCUUCCUUGAUCUUUUUCUCAAGCCAUUUUUGGAUCAGUUUGGAAGCCCGCCCUGCUCUGCCUAGAAAGCCUCCUUGUGAAGAAGCUUUAGGCUGAGUCUUUCUCGAUUGGCCUUGUCUCCUCUGCUGUUCUCCCCAUCCCGCCUCAAGCCACGUCAUUGGAAGGCAUAGCACAGCAGCUUCCAAAAUGCGGCCCAGCAGCAUCAGCACCUCCUGGGAACUUGUCAGAAAUGCAAUUUUUUGAGUUCCACCACAGAC
Diceros bicornis minor is the source of this 482-nucleotide long non-coding RNA. RefSeq lists it as uncharacterized. NCBI's taxonomy places the organism in Eukaryota, Metazoa, Chordata, Mammalia, Perissodactyla, Rhinocerotidae. The record is from RefSeq and is a predicted model, not a curated record. The transcript has 3 exons.